AGCCCCCUAAACAUGCAUCCGCGCCUGCGCAGCCGCGGGUCGCCCAGGGUUGGGAUGUUGGUGUCGGCUGGGGGCUGCUGUGAGGCGCUUGGUAGCACCCAGUCCUGAUACUCUCCAGUUACCCGAGAUCUUUGGGGGCUUGGAUGGAGGAACAGGAAAAGAGGAGCCAGGCUUUUUUGGAAAAUUGGCGGCAGCGGUGGCAUACGGGAAACUGAAAUCUUUAUCUAAUCUCAUCCUUUGUAUAUUCGUCUUGGAUUUGCUGAAGAAAAUUAAAAGGCCAGGCCUACCACUCCUAUGGCACAGUAUUGAUGAGAGACAUCAGUGGAGCUCCCCACCUCCACCCCAGGCUUGGAACUUAGGGAAUGACUGGUUUUUGUCAUUUCACACAACAGCUGAAGGAUUCUGUCCCCACCUCGUCCUCUGUGAAGUCUGCUGGACGUACCUGCCAGAAUCUUCUGAAGAUGACGUUUGCUGAACACUGACCCACAGGGGUUUGAUGGAUUAUUGACAAUGAGACAAGCUGUCUUUUCAUCAAUUAGAUAUUCCAGUUGUUUCAGGUCAAUUUCCCAAGAUUUCUCUGGCUGGAGAGAAAGAAAGGAUGAGACUAAGAUGAUUCUGAAACAUUUAGGGGGAAUCCUCACUUAUCUCAAGGGUCCAAUGUAAGCAAUAAAGUCUGUCUCUGG
RNAcentral lists this long non-coding RNA (683 nucleotides) under Homo sapiens (human). Its description in RNAcentral is "HSALNT0386775". Lineage: Eukaryota; Metazoa; Chordata; Mammalia; Primates; Hominidae. The record is from RNAcentral.